UUGAACGCUGGCGGCAGGCCUAACACCUGCAAGUCGAACGGUAACAGGAAGAAGCUUGCUUCUUUGCUGACGAGUGGCGGACGGGUGAGUAAUGUCUGGGAAACUGCCUGAUGGAGGGGGAUAACUACUGGAAACGGUAGCUAAUACCGCAUAACGUCGCAAGACCAAAAAGGGGGACCUUCGGGCCUCUUGCCAUCGGAUGUGCCCAGAUGGGAUUAGCUAGUAGGUGGGGUAACGGCUCACCUAGGCGACGAUCCCUAGCUGGUCUGAGAGGAUGACCAGCCACACUGGAACUGAGACACGGUCCAGACUCCUACGGGAGGCAGCAGUGGGGAAUAUUGCACAAUGGGCGCAAGCCUGAUGCAGCCAUGCCGCGUGUAUGAAGAAGGCCUUCGGGUUGUAAAGUACUUUCAGCGGGGAGGAAGGGAGUAAAGUUAAUACCUUUGCUCAUUGACGUUACCCGCAGAAGAAGCACCGGCUAACUCCGUG
Molecule: ribosomal RNA, 489 nt
Filed under: uncultured bacterium
Lineage: Bacteria
Description: partial 16S ribosomal RNA
Rfam family: Bacterial small subunit ribosomal RNA
Source: RNAcentral